Molecule: long non-coding RNA, 262 nt
Filed under: Elaeis guineensis (African oil palm)
Lineage: Eukaryota; Viridiplantae; Streptophyta; Magnoliopsida; Arecales; Arecaceae
Description: long non-coding RNA (EGUI_LNC081359)
Source: RNAcentral
AGAUAGAAAGCUUAAUAGGUUAAGACACCUAAUAAAAGUAUAAUAUUAAAAAAAAAGAAGAGCAAAGUCUAAACAUCGAUCUCCCACUGAGUAAUCGGAUUUCUUCGUCUAAGUAUUGUGGUUCAUGUCAAAAAGUGGAUAAUAUGAAGAUAUUUUUAUAAUAAAUGAAGGACGAAAGUAACAAUAUGUUCACCCAUGUAAAGAUAAAUGAUUUAGAGAUAUAGGUAUGAGUAAUUUAGAAAAAGUCCAGAAAAAAUUUAAU